AAGAGAACCUUUACCCAGCCCUUAUUCCCACAGAAUGGGAAAAGGCCCAGAUGAAGCUUUGGUUGUCUUCAUAUGUUUUGGUUGUGGAGUUCCAUCUUCUGAAGGGUCUUUUUGAAGUUGCCCUAUCAAUUUUGCCUUGCUCCUGUCUCUUCAGGAGCACCCUGGGGAGUGGAGUCUUGUCCUCCCUGUCCAGUUGCACUCUAAGCAGCUUCCGUAAGCUCAGCCACCUGUGA
This 233-nucleotide long non-coding RNA is filed under the name Cyanistes caeruleus (blue tit). RNAcentral describes it as "lncRNA (ENSCCEG00000023006.1)". The record is from RNAcentral. Lineage: Eukaryota; Metazoa; Chordata; Aves; Passeriformes; Paridae.